UGGGUUCCUGGCAUGCUGAUUUGUGACUUAAGAUUAAAAUCACAUUGCCAGGGAUUACCA
Molecule: microRNA precursor, 60 nt
Filed under: Sarcophilus harrisii (Tasmanian devil)
Lineage: Eukaryota; Metazoa; Chordata; Mammalia; Dasyuromorphia; Dasyuridae
Also listed under: 1 other name
Description: Sha-Mir-23-P2_pre stem-loop
Rfam family: mir-23 microRNA precursor family
Source: RNAcentral